Molecule: ribosomal RNA, 254 nt
Filed under: uncultured bacterium
Lineage: Bacteria
Description: partial 16S ribosomal RNA
Rfam family: Bacterial small subunit ribosomal RNA
Source: RNAcentral
UACAGAGGUCUCGAGCGUUAGGCGGAAUCACUGGGCUUAAAGCGUGUGUAGGUGGAUGCCUAAGUACCUUGUGAAAUCCCACGGCUUAACCGUGGAACUGCUUGGUAUACUGGGUGUCUUGAGUCACUCGAGGGGCGAGCGGAACAAAUGGUGGAGCGGUGAAAUGCGUAGAUAUCAUUUGGAACGCCAAUGGUGAAAACAGCUCGCUGGGGGUGCACUGACACUGAGACACGAAAGCCAGGGGAGCGAACGGG